RNAcentral lists this ribosomal RNA (449 nucleotides) under uncultured bacterium. Its description in RNAcentral is "partial 16S ribosomal RNA". It matches the Rfam family "Bacterial small subunit ribosomal RNA", at positions 329 to 795 of the family's 1533-position model. The record is from RNAcentral.
UCCCAGACUCCUACGGGAGGCAGCAGUGGGGAAUAUUGCACAAUGGGGGAAACCCUGAUGCAGCAACGCCGCGUGAGUGAAGAAGUCAUUCGUGAUGUAAAGCUCUAUCAGCAGGGAAGAAAAUGACGGUACCUGAGUAAGAAGCCCCGGCUAACUACGUGCCAGCAGCCGCGGUAAUACGUAGGGGGCAAGCGUUAUCCGGAUUUACUGGGCGUAAAGGGAGCGCAGGCGGCGCGCCAAGUCUGAUGUGAAACCCCGGGGCUCAACCCCGGGCAUGCAUUGGAAACUGGCGGGCUGGAGUGCCGGAGAGGUAAGCGGAAUUCCUAGUGUAGCGGUGAAAUGCGUAGAUAUUAGGAGGAACACCAGUGGCGAAGGCGGCUUACUGGACGGCAACUGACGCUGAGGCUCGAAAGCGUGGGGAGCAAACAGGAUUAGAUACCCUAGUAGCC